GUCAUAAUCCAAAGUCUCACUAUUUCUUUGUAGGUUAUAAAUAGAUGCCUCUUUUGGUUUUGGGGAGUUAGACUUCUUGGAUUCUUAUUAUUGGAGGCUCAGUGAAGUACUUCUCUAAAGUAAAGUUAAACGUUGCUAGUUUAGGAUUGAAUCUUGCAGGGAAAAUCCUAUGUGUGAAAGCAAACCACCUUAUUGUCUUUUAAACACUGUAAUUGUUCGAAGCUAUUCAGAGGUUAUACCAUAGCUUAGUCAAAUUUUUUAAGUUUUCUUAGAAAACUUUCUAAAGUGUGUUUCUAAGCAUGAAUCUGCUGUGUGCAUACGCUCUAGGUAAAUAGUGGCACUUAAGUUCUGCUAUAUUUAUUUCUGAAUUUCCAAAUAAUCUGCUUAAAGUAGUGUUUUUCACUCACACACAGACUUUUGGUAUAAAGAGGAAGAGAAUCAGAAGGCAGGAGCCACUGUUUCUCUGAGACUCUAGGUCGCCAUGAUUUAUUCCAAGAAGCACCUCAUGCAUUUCCCUGGAUGAACUGACAACAGGAGUUUUACAGUUGUUCGGUGGGAUCAAGGCUUUGCACUAAACCACUGCCUGCCAUUCAAUUACGCAAUGUCGGCAGCAGAAAACCCCAGCCUUUUCUGCACAUAUGACUUGCCAUCACCUUUGCUUUUACUGGUUUGUAAAAGAAGUGAAAUAUGCAUGCCUGAGCAUCCAGCUGUUACUGUUGGCAAGCCUCCAGUACCAGAGGUAUAGCAUUCCAGGGUUACAAAUUAACACCAUCAUAGUGGGAAAGUGGUUGGUUUCUUUUUUUAUUCCCAGUUUCUGCAAGCGUAGCACAGCAUGAAAGUAUGUGUUUGUUCUCUCUCCUGGAUGGCAGGACUGACCUUCAACCAACUAUUUAAGAAACUCUGCAGAGCAUGACGUGCUGCACGCUGCAUAAUUCAACGGGAAGGAAACCUACUGCUACAGGAGGUCAUCAAGAAAGUAAGAUGAAGCAGCACUCUGAAAGGAACAGCAGCAGGACAUGGCUCAAAAUAUUAUCAAAGGAAGAACACUGUUUUCUUAAAGGGCAGCAGUCUCCAUUGUGAAGGGGGAAAAAAGAAAAAGACCACCUUUCUGUGAGAACUCUGUGGGAGUGGAGUAGUUACAUUGAGGGGUUUCUUUCAUGUUGAUGUACUUCUACCCUAUAACCCUCUUGAUGCCGCACUAAAGUUCUGGCAGUAGAAAGAGGCACUUUGGAUACACUGUGAUGUGACAUGAUCUUUCCUAGAGAUAACUUCUUCUGAAGUGGGAUUAGAGCUGAAGAAAGAAAAGGAAUGGCAAGGAACUAAAAAUUUCUAGAAAGCAUCAUCCCAGUUUCUAUGGAAGAAGGAUUUUAAAAAGCUGCCUAGAAAUUGAGAGUUUCUCUCCAAAGUAUCAGUCUGCAACUUCAGAUUUCAGAAAAAUGAGAGACACCAGGAAAACUGAAAUACUAAAGUAUUAUUGGAACGUUUAGCCUGACCUCUGUAGUAACUGGUCCUUAUUUUUUGCCAAGAUACUCUGUACUGAAUCCAAAAAUAUUCCUGGAUAAACCACGUCUUCCAGAAAAGCAGCAGUGUUGUGCAGUGUUUUCUCCUUGUGAAGGUACUUAUGCACUACCUGAAUUACCACAAACGGUGACAGGGCAGAGGGAAGAAAAAGCCAUUUGUGAGAUUUCUCACCAUAAGAAGUUACUUUGGAUUUUGGACUUUGCCAUGUCUGUCAGAAGAUGCAACUAAUUACCCACCAACAUAUUUGACAUGAAUCUCAGGAGACCAGAGGAAAUUUUUCAGACUGAAAUUCGAAUUCGCUUGUGCUAGGAAUAAUGUUUUGGCUGACAAAAGGCUGACCAAAGGCUGACCAAAGACUGACGUAGUGCUGCAUUAUUAAUCACAGAAACUAGGUCAGGAAUGUGUAUCAGAGUAAUUAGCUCCAAUAUUACAUACAUCUACAUUCAUGAUGUGCCAAUGUCUGCAAUGCAAGGUCAUUUAAAGCACAGGAAGGACGUAAGUGAAAAUCACUGCUCAACUAAGCAUGUGUGUGUGGGAACACACAUGGGUAGGAGAAGAAGGCUGAUGGUGAGCUGAAGACGAAAAUUCAUUUUGGGCUAAACAAAAGUCCUUGUAUGCAUUGAAAUGGAGCAUUUUCUUUGAACUUUGUUUAAAAAGGUCUUAGGCAUUUUUUUCUAUUUAAAAUUUUAAAAGUUUCCUUACAGUGUUCAUGUUUCACCUUUUUUUUUUUUUGUUGAUGUUUAUUUUUUAACAAAUCCACUUACUUCCACGUCGAUUCAAAGUCUAAUUUUUUUUCAUUGAGUAGAAUCUAUUAUUUCAGCAGAAAGCUUCUUCCUAAUUUUUUUCUUUUUUCUCUCUCCUCCAGGAUAUGUAAAAUUGCAGAUGCAUGUACCUGUAAAAAGUUCUAGGGAAUUCAGAAUUUACUACUUGACAGACUUCAUUAAUCACUUCAUAAAGACCUCUUAACAUUAGUUAUUCUUAAAUUUAGCAUUAACUCCAGGAUGAAUUUUUUAUUUUUUUUUUUAAAUCCAUUUGGCCCUAUUCUUAGCUUUUUUUUUUUAUCCUUGAACAUGGAAUGAUCCUCUUGAUAUUGUAUUAAGUAACUAAAAUCAGCUUCCCAAGGUGUGGAAGGCCCUCUAUGUCCUAGAUUUGAAAAAAUGUUUCCUCUAAGUAAUGGUGGGGGAAAUAUUCUAAACUAUAUUUGCGAAGGUUGGGUAUUAGCACGGAACAACAUUUCUGUUUCAGAAUGUUAGCUUUUUUAAAAAAACUAAGUUUAUCAAGCCACAUGAACAAGUACUGUUUUAUUGCCUAUAGCCUGAUUCACCUCUCAUUUACUCCAGAUUGCUCUAGCUAAAAUGAAGCUGUUCUUGUUCUCAUUUUAAUGAAAAACUCCAAGCCAGAUACAUGUGUUCAAGAGGUCUAACUCUGAAGUGAAAGGACAGGACAGAAUGCUUAUUGAUUCACAUUACAGCAGCAGAUGAUGCUAUUGGCUUUCCCCAUGUACAUUUCAGUGUUGUCUAUGGACUACCAGCUAUCAAGUUAAGUUACUGCAGUUCCAGUACCUGGUGGUGCUUCUGACUAUUUGGAGGCAAAACAAGAUUUAGAAACAUACAGUAAGCUGGAUAUUUUGAAACAAUAUAUAUUACAACAUAUAUAUAUGGAUAUUUUAACACUAGAAAUUGCCAGCUUUCACGAAUAUUAAUAAAAAGGUUAAGCAUGUGGAGAUGUUCACACAUUUGUUAAAAUUGUGUUUGCCCUCAGUCUCUCCACAGUUAUUAUCCUAUCCUUUAUUCGGGCUAUGAGCAGAACUACUCUUCACCACCCCUCCCCUGAAAAAAAAAACCCAAACCAAAACAAACAACCCACAAGAAGACAAACACAAAACAAACAAAUUAAAAAAAGAAAAACCCACAUCAUCUUUAAACUCAGGGCCACUUAGGUAGAUGUGACUUUUUUUUACAUUUGAUAGCCAUUAAGACUUUAUUAGCUUUGUGCUAUUAUGAAAUUCACUGAAAUUAAAGGGUUUAUUUCAAAAUUUUCAGUCAGCUUUUAACGAAACUCUUUGAUUAGUUUUAUUUUUAUUUCCUUCAUAAUAUUCAGUGAUGUCUGUAUUUCUUAUGUUUGAGCCUUUAAUGUAUUCUGAGUCCUACUACUGUUGAAUAUCCUAUGAGUCCGAAUGAAAUCUGAGACUGAAAAGGCAACUUGUGAUGUCUGAAUUGCAACAGCAAAAAAAAAAUCUUUCAGUUCUCAUGACGGCUAUUUUGAAAUAUGGAUAACAGCUUCCAUGGAAAAUACUAAAUAUCUGGUUAAUAAGGCUGUAGAUCAACUGACAGUAACUACUGGUUAUAAAGAUAAUAGUAAACGUUUUUCUGAGUGGCAUUCUAGUCCUUUAUGUUUUACCUUCGAUUGCUUUAUCUCUGGUCUUCAACAUUUGCAUGUAAAAUGUCAAAUAUGUUAAUACUUGAAAAGCAGAAAAACCCUUACCAAUCCCCCUUAUAAAAAUACUUUCUGUUAUAGUGUAUUUACCUUGAACCUUGUUUCUUUCAGCAUUUAUCUUCUUGAAUAUGUUGGAAUCAAUAUUGCAAAUCACAUUCACACAGCUCAUCAGAAAUCACUGGAUUUAGCAAUUAUAAUUUUAAAUAAAAUGACAUUUUCUCCUUAAUGAUGAAGCAAUACAUAGUCAUUAGAAUGCAGCUUAUGUAAUUGCUGGGUUGCACCCAGAAUAUAAAACCAUCAUCUUGCCUUCUAUGACAUCUAUGAUGCCUUUUUACAGUACACUAUGGAAUUCAGUGCAGUAAUGUAGUAUAAAUGUGCUGCUUCUCACUUGUUUCAUGUUUUUAUAUACAUUUAUACUAGAAAUUUGCACUGAUGGAACUGGAGCUGUCAGCAUUAUGAUCUUCAUUUGCAUUUUCUUUGACAGUUUCCUUGUCAAAUUUGAAGGAAGUAUUUAUAUACCAUUUGUUGUCCCAGGUAUACUUCACUGAAAUAGUCAACCAUUGGUGAGUUAGGGAAAUACUACAUGUUAUUAGCAUUGAACUGUCAGCAGCAAAUCAACAUUUUAGUUUGCUUGCUUUCCAAGCUGAUAUCUUGAUCUCUGACACAGUGGGGAGAGGAAAAGAUGCAGGUCAAUACAGUGUUUGAGGUGAUAUGAGAUCUCUGUUCAAGGCACUAAAGUGACUUUCUUCAGACCUCAGGGACGUGCAACAUAGCCUAGGGAAUGGCAGGAAGGCAUGGUGAGGGUUUGGGGCACAUGGUACUCAGAUGACUGGAAGUGCAUGGAGGAUGACAGAGGUAUAACCUGGUGCCAUCUCAUCCAUUCAUCCCCUUUUAUGAUUAACUGAAAUAAAUGAUUCCUAGUGCUGAACCUGGUCUUAAUCUUCGAAAGAACUGCUUGGAGCAGCCCAAAACAAAACUGGAGGCAAAUAACCAACUAAGCAAUGUGGAGCUCCCUCUAGCCCAUUCUCCUCUCUUAUUUAUCAGCGUAGACUCCUUCAAAGUUUGUUGGCGAUGCUCUGGUGAGAAAUCAGAACUGAAGGUGACAUCUGCUACCUUUUCAUAUAUUCUUCACAUUUUACAAAUUUGGUGAGAUGAGAAUUUCAAUCUUGUUAAGGAAGCUUUGCAGAAUGUACUGCUUUAUUUCCAGUAAUAUAAUGUUAUUUUAGAUCCAACCUGGAUAAGGUUGUGUGAUGAGAGUUUGAAGGCCUUAUGAAUUACCAGACAAAUGAAACUCUUGGAUGUGAAAAGAGUACUGUCAAUGUGAGGCCUUACUAGAUACUUGGAAAAUGUACAGCAAGCUUGCUGAAAUGGACCAGAGAGAAAACCUAAAAGAGUUGAUCUUCAAAAAAGCUGAAUGCUUUUUCUAGCUAACAGAGUUGAGUUUAUUCUGUUCUUGUAAAUCUAAUACAUUGCUUCUGUUUGUUGAAAAAGAUGAGCUAAAAGAAGAUAACUUUUCUUCAUCCAGCUUCCUGCAAAUGCCAUGUUCCUGCACCAUAUUUAGGUCCAAAUUACUGUGGAUUUUGUGAAAGGAAGAAUGAGCAACUAUUUUUCCUGACAUCAGUGUUUUAUGAUUACUGAGCUAUUUAGAAAUAUUUGACAUUGUACUGAUUUUCUCUCUCAAAAUAAACUUUUCUGAUUACCCUUACAUUUCAGUGAUUUCUUUUGUGCAGUAGUGAAUCUGCAGCUUGUGAGGUAACUGGCAAAAAGUCUGAUCCAUCAGCAUUUUUGUUUGCUUUCUUGACUUUGUAGUGGCACAGCAACAAUGAAGAAGCAAUCAUUCAUCAUCCAGCCAAACAAAAUAAAGAUUCGAAAGUGGAAAUAA
Strigops habroptila (Kakapo) is the source of this 5839-nucleotide long non-coding RNA. RefSeq lists it as uncharacterized. Lineage: Eukaryota; Metazoa; Chordata; Aves; Psittaciformes; Psittacidae. The transcript is spliced from 8 exons. The record is from RefSeq and is a predicted model, not a curated record.